This is a non-coding RNA of Cinara cedri, 211 nucleotides long. The record is from the annotation of a GenBank genome assembly. NCBI's taxonomy places the organism in Eukaryota, Metazoa, Arthropoda, Insecta, Hemiptera, Aphididae.
CUUUUCACACACUGACACGAACUGUUUAUACCGCCACAUAAAUUGCCUAAUUCUUACUCCUUAGAAAAUGACUGACUGUAACCACCUUAAUACUCGUGACAACCAAAUUGACUAAUAAUAUCGAUUUUAUGGGUGAACCAUAAAUUUAUAAUAAAACAAAAAAUCUAUUUUCGUUCCAUAAAUACUAAAAACCCUCAGUCAUUAUGUCAGU